GUAAAUAUAGUUUAUUAAAACACUAGACUGUGACUCUAGAAAUAGAAGCCCCAUCUUCUUAUUUACC
RNAcentral lists this transfer RNA (67 nucleotides) under Podarcis gaigeae (Skyros wall lizard). RNAcentral describes it as "tRNA-His". It matches the Rfam family "tRNA". Rfam says of the family: Transfer RNA (tRNA) molecules are approximately 80 nucleotides in length. Their secondary structure includes four short double-helical elements and three loops (D, anti-codon, and T loops). Further hydrogen bonds mediate the characteristic L-shaped molecular structure. tRNAs have two regions of fundamental functional importance: the anti-codon, which is responsible for specific mRNA codon recognition, and the 3' end, to which the tRNAs corresponding amino acid is attached (by aminoacyl-tRNA synthetases). tRNAs cope with the degeneracy of the genetic code in two manners: having more than one tRNA (with a specific anti-codon) for a particular amino acid; and 'wobble' base-pairing, i.e. permitting non-standard base-pairing at the 3rd anti-codon position. Lineage: Eukaryota; Metazoa; Chordata; Lepidosauria; Squamata; Lacertidae. The record is from RNAcentral.